GCGGGAAUAACUCAGAGGUAGAGUGACAGCUUCCCAAGCUGUAGGUCGCGGGUUCGAAUCCCGUUUCCCGCU
This 72-nucleotide transfer RNA is filed under the name Deltaproteobacteria bacterium. Its description in RNAcentral is "tRNA-Gly". It matches the Rfam family "tRNA". From Rfam's summary of the family: Transfer RNA (tRNA) molecules are approximately 80 nucleotides in length. Their secondary structure includes four short double-helical elements and three loops (D, anti-codon, and T loops). Further hydrogen bonds mediate the characteristic L-shaped molecular structure. tRNAs have two regions of fundamental functional importance: the anti-codon, which is responsible for specific mRNA codon recognition, and the 3' end, to which the tRNAs corresponding amino acid is attached (by aminoacyl-tRNA synthetases). tRNAs cope with the degeneracy of the genetic code in two manners: having more than one tRNA (with a specific anti-codon) for a particular amino acid; and 'wobble' base-pairing, i.e. permitting non-standard base-pairing at the 3rd anti-codon position. RNAcentral also lists the same sequence under 2 other names. The record is from RNAcentral. Lineage: Bacteria; Pseudomonadati; Myxococcota; Myxococcia.